GACGAACGCUGGCGGCGUGCUUAACACAUGCAAGUCGAACGGAAAGGCCCUGCUUUUGCGGGGUGCUCGAGUGGCGAACGGGUGAGUAACACGUGAGUAACCUGCCCUUGACUUUGGGAUAACUUCAGGAAACUGGGGCUAAUACCGGAUAGGAGCUCCUGCUGCAUGGUGGGGGUUGGAAAGUUUCGGCGGUUGGGGAUGGACUCGCGGCUUAUCAGCUUGUUGGUGGGGUAGUGGCUUACCAAGGCUUUGACGGGUAGCCGGCCUGAGAGGGUGACCGGCCACAUUGGGACUGAGAUACGGCCCAGACUCCAACGGGAGGCAGCAGUGGGGAAUAUUGCACAAUGGGCGGAAGCCUGAGGCAGCAACGCCGCGUGCGGGAUGACGGCCUUCGGGUUGUAAACCGCUUUCGCCUGUGACGAAGCGUGAGUGACGGUAAUGGGUAAAGAAGCACCGGCUAACUACGUG
RNAcentral lists this ribosomal RNA (468 nucleotides) under uncultured bacterium. RNAcentral's name for it is "partial 16S ribosomal RNA". It matches the Rfam family "Bacterial small subunit ribosomal RNA", at positions 28 to 507 of the family's 1533-position model. The record is from RNAcentral.